RNAcentral lists this non-coding RNA (155 nucleotides) under uncultured Niameybacter sp. The record is from RNAcentral. Lineage: Bacteria; Bacillati; Bacillota; Clostridia; Lachnospirales; Lachnospiraceae.
UUAUAAGGUGCUUUAACAAGCUUAAUAGGGAAAGUUAAGAGCUGCAGCCCCCGCUACUGUUAAUAGGGACGAAGGUGAAUAUGCCACUGUAAGGAAACUUAUGGUAAGGCCACUGGAGGAUGAACUAUGAGCCAGGAGACCUGCCUUAUAAGUUG